Molecule: long non-coding RNA, 2706 nt
Organism: Numida meleagris (helmeted guineafowl)
Lineage: Eukaryota; Metazoa; Chordata; Aves; Galliformes; Numididae
Exons: 7
Source: RefSeq, a predicted model, not a curated record
GCUGGAGAUCCCUGUGUACCUGAGGUCUUCUAAAGUUUUGGACCUAAAGAGACUGUUUUGCCAGAGAACCAAGAGGGAACUUAGUUCUUGAGGGGUCAGAGCACAGUGGACACCGGUGUCCUUCCACAUCUUCCUGGCUACAGCACUGAAAUGCAACCAGAAUCCAGUUCAUUAGACCUACAGAAUCACAGCUGAGGAAUUUUAAUCUCCAGAGCUGAGAAAGCGAAAAUGAAGUCGGGGCUACAGCUGAUGUGCUCUUACACAACUUUUUCCUCUCUCUGCUAAACUCCCAAUGGAAUGGAACCAAACUCAAAUCCUGCUCACUCAUAAAACAUUUGCUCGGGUGUUCCCAAGUGUGGUAUAACUCCUCUGGCAAGCAAAUACAGCAUGCAGGCUGGCCAUAAAGCGUGCUCCAAAUAAUUGUGGAGGAAGUAGUGAACGUUCCAAAGCCCUGCUUUCUCUCUGAGAUCAGAUGGUCAUCACUGUUGAAGUGAAUUCAGCUCACACAACUUGUUCUUCAAUUUAUCUCUGGAGUUUAGGAGCAACUCCAGCUCUGCUCUGGAGAGCCAAAGGAUGUGUCUCACUCCAGGCCCAGAAGUGAGCUGACAGAUCCUCAAACAGUGCAAGCUGCCCUGGUGCUGCUGAAGUCAGUGAAGUUGCAACAGUUUGCACCAGUUGGGAAGUGCACGACAUUGAGAGCAUUUGUUCCAGCUCUGCCCCUGCCCUCUGGUCUGCAAUUUCACUCUGCCCAGCCAGGUUAGAAGAGGAGGGGACCUCAGGCGCAGAGCUGGUGCUGCAGCACAGACACAGGAAGAUAGUGGCGAAAGGAACGCAGACAUCGAGAGGAAAGCCGCCAGUUCCCAAGCCCAGCUCCUUCUGCGCGAGGUGACCUCCUCCCAACUCCUCUUCUGGGAAAAACUCCUAUUGACACCACAGCAAUGUGGGACCAGAGAAUGGGAAUGAGCUCCAGCUCUGCAAGGCAGCUCUGGCUGCUGAGUGACAGCCACGGCUGCUCCUUCCGAGACCUUGAACCCGGAGCUGCGACCACGCGCAUCCCACCCUGCUGCUCCCAGAGACUGCGCCGCGCUUCUUCCCCUCCCCAAGCAGCAAAACCGGGCAGGAAUUGCCAUUUCAGAGGCAGAGGAGAAAAAUUGAGGGCAUUUCUAUCAAAAUGCAUCUCCUCAUUGAAUAACUUCCCAAACUCUGGUUCAAGUUUAAAUAACAGUUAACGACUCAGAAGCAAUCGGAAACGUUUUGCCAAGGGGAAAUCAGCAGUCCAUUAAGAGCUGAGCAUUAUUGCUGAACACUGAAGGCAGCUUUUAGACAUCGUAUGUUUAUAGACUGAAGGAGCUGGAUACAUUUGAUCUUCCCAAAAAGCACACUAACACUUUUAAUACCAUUCUUCUUCCAUCUGUGCAGGAGCAGCACUUCAGUUACGUUACAUAGGUAUCAAUGGGUCAAGAGAGCUUUCAGAUUUCACUGAUUUUCUACAAAAUACAGAUGUACUGAUGUUCCCCUCUGAAAUCAACUCCUAUGGGAAAUAAACUUUUCAUAACAUGCAUGUUAUGUUCUGCAAUCACAGUUGUUUUUUUUUAAUGUAUACAUACACACACACGUUUAUUUGCCGUAGCAGUGAUACAGUAUGUUUGCUCAUAAUGGACAUUUUUAAUAAAUGUUUUUAGGGAAGUAAAUUAUUUGCCUUCCUGCCAUGUCCUUCCACUUCCACCCAAGCUGCAGUGCUCUGUGGAGAAACCACACAGCCUCUCUACCAAACAACCUUCUCCUCAUCUGACUUAUUCUAUAGGAACGUACCCAUCUCACCUUCUGAAAUUCAAAACACUGCAUGGUGGAACCAAAAAAAAAUUCGGAAUUUGGGCACCAUUCUUUGCCAGUGAUGCUCUUAAAUUCUAUUGGGAGAAUCAACCAUCAGCCAUGAGUAGACUUCAUAUCAAUGAAGUAACCAUUUACAGCAGUUACAGCAAUAGGAUACACCACACUUUGCUAACAACUGAACAAAUGAGCUAAAACAGCAAUCCACACCAAUGCUUGCAUUUUGGAGAAGGUCCCCAAUUUUGGGAUAUUCUCACACCCAGAAUGUUUCUCAAGCGUACAGUAUGUUUCAAUUUAGAGCCAUAUCCUUCAUGACAUGCAAGGCACAAAUAUCCAUUGAAGUCCACCGAUACUUUUGGGCAAGAGGAAGGGAGGUUUCAUUAGCAGCUCGUAUGAAAAUCAUUUUCAAUUGAUAUUCAGUUUAACUGCACCAGAGUUUAAUGCUGAUGGCAAAACCUAAAGCAUAGGUCUCAUCCAAAAUCCUUUGGAAUCAAUGUGAUUCUUAACAUUAACUUCCUCAAAGCCAGGAUUUCUGCCUAAUUGCUUUCUAAUAAAAUGCAUAGGUUAUUUCUAGAUCACUUUGAUUACCUCCAGGAUUCCGCCAGACCAAACUAGGACAGCUCGCCUGCCUCCCAGGGCACUUUCUGUGAAUCCCAAAAGCUGAUACUUUGCAUAUAAUAAUUAUAUCCAAUAAAAAAAUAGCAUGAAGCGACUUCUAAAAUCCAAAGGUCAAAAAUUCAGCUAACAUACAUUAAUCUUUAUUAUGUAACAACAAUAUAAUUAAUGAGUUUAUGAGGUUCGUAUGACCUGUACAAAAAGCCAAAAAGAUAUUGCACCGAGUGAGGUACCGGCUGUUAGGAUUCCAUACUCGUUAAG